AGUUUGCUGAGGAUGUGGCUGCAACAUCUGUCACCCUGUUGAUCGCCAGGGUUGAUUCAGCUGAUCUGGCUGGCUAGGCGGGUGUCCGCUUCUUCCCUCACCACUCCAUGUGGGUCCCUCCUGAGGCUAUGUGCUCAGUCCAAGAGGAUGACCUUCCCCAACAGAGGAGGACUAGUCUUUGGUCAAGGGUGUAAGAGUAGAUGCGCUCCCCUGCUAGAACCUCCAAACAAGCUCUCAAGAUAGUUUGCUGACAUCGACAGACUUGGAGAACAGCAUGGACAAUUGCCAGCUCCAGGAAGCAAAGCCAAGUCACUUCUU
RNAcentral lists this small nuclear RNA (318 nucleotides) under Jaculus jaculus (lesser Egyptian jerboa). Its description in RNAcentral is "7SK RNA (ENSJJAG00000003312.1)". It matches the Rfam family "7SK RNA". From Rfam's summary of the family: 7SK was discovered as an abundant small nuclear RNA in the mid-70s but a possible function has only recently been suggested. Two independent studies have found that 7SK RNA binds the CDK9/cyclin T complex (known as elongation factor P-TEFb). The record is from Rfam by way of RNAcentral. Lineage: Eukaryota; Metazoa; Chordata; Mammalia; Rodentia; Dipodidae.